GCGCCCGUCCCGCCGCCCCCGCCCGAUUAGAUACCCGGGUAGUCCCAGCCGUAAACGAUGCUCGCUAGGUGUCUGGGAUGGUGCGACCGUUUCAGGUGCCGCAGGGAAGCCGUGAAGCGAGCCACCUGGGAAGUACGGCCGCAAGGCUGAAACUUAAAGGAAUUGGCGGGGGAGCACUACAACGGGUGGAGCCUGCGGUUUAAUUGGACCCAACGCCGGAAAACUCAC
RNAcentral lists this ribosomal RNA (228 nucleotides) under uncultured archaeon. RNAcentral's name for it is "partial 16S ribosomal RNA". It matches the Rfam family "Archaeal small subunit ribosomal RNA", at positions 704 to 930 of the family's 1478-position model. The record is from RNAcentral.